Molecule: ribosomal RNA, 99 nt
Filed under: uncultured bacterium
Lineage: Bacteria
Description: partial 16S ribosomal RNA
Rfam family: Bacterial small subunit ribosomal RNA
Source: RNAcentral
UACACACCGCCCGUCACACCAUGGAAGUUGGUUCUACCUUAAGCCAGUCCGCUAACCGCAAGGAGGCAGCUGACCACGGUAGGGUCAAUGACUGGGGUG